RNAcentral lists this transfer RNA (63 nucleotides) under Metaphire tosaensis. RNAcentral's name for it is "tRNA-Tyr". The record is from RNAcentral. Lineage: Eukaryota; Metazoa; Annelida; Clitellata; Crassiclitellata; Megascolecidae.
UACAAGGUGGUUGAGAUUAAACAAUAAACUGUAAAUUUAUAUACGGGUGGUACCCCCUUGUGU